RNAcentral lists this ribosomal RNA (497 nucleotides) under uncultured bacterium. RNAcentral describes it as "partial 16S ribosomal RNA". It matches the Rfam family "Bacterial small subunit ribosomal RNA", at positions 28 to 507 of the family's 1533-position model. The record is from RNAcentral.
GAUGAACGCUGGCGGCGUGCCUAAUACAUGCAAGUCGAGCGAACAGACGAGGAGCUUGCUCCUCUGACGUUAGCGGCGGACGGGUGAGUAACACGUGGAUAACCUACCUAUAAGACUGGGAUAACUUCGGGAAACCGGAGCUAAUACCGGAUAAUAUAUUGAACCGCAUGGUUCAAUAGUGAAAGACGGUUUUGCUGUCACUUAUAGAUGGAUCCGCGCCGCAUUAGCUAGUUGGUAAGGUAACGGCUUACCAAGGCAACGAUGCGUAGCCGACCUGAGAGGGUGAUCGGCCACGCUGGAACUGAGACACGGUCCAGAUUCCUACGGGAGGCAGCAGUAGGGAAUCUUCCGCAAUGGGCGAAAGCUUGACGGAGCAACGCCGCGUGAGUGAUGAAGGUCUUCGGAUCGUAAAACUCUGUUAUUAGGGAAGAACAAAUGUGUAAGUAACUAUGCACGUCUUGACGGUACCUAAUCAGAAAGCCACGGCUAACUACGUG